GAAAUGCGAUAAGUAAUGUGAAUUGCAGAAUCCAGUGAAUCAUCGAAUCUUUGAACGCACCUUGCGCUCCUUGGCAUUCCGAGGAGCAUGCCUGUUUGAGUGUCAUGA
This 108-nucleotide ribosomal RNA is filed under the name Laetiporus caribensis. RNAcentral's name for it is "partial 5.8S ribosomal RNA". It matches the Rfam family "5.8S ribosomal RNA", at positions 50 to 154 of the family's 154-position model. Rfam says of the family: 5.8S ribosomal RNA (5.8S rRNA) is a component of the large subunit of the eukaryotic ribosome. Lineage: Eukaryota; Fungi; Basidiomycota; Agaricomycetes; Polyporales; Laetiporaceae. The record is from RNAcentral.